Molecule: ribosomal RNA, 122 nt
Filed under: Lachnoclostridium sp. An118
Lineage: Bacteria; Bacillati; Bacillota; Clostridia; Lachnospirales; Lachnospiraceae
Description: partial 23S ribosomal RNA
Rfam family: Bacterial large subunit ribosomal RNA
Source: RNAcentral
AGAUGAGAUAUCCCUACGAAAGUAGUAAGACCCCUUGAAGACGACGAGGUAGAUAGGGCAGAGGUGGAAGCAUGGUAACAUGUGGAGCUGACUGUUACUAAUCGGUCGAGGGCAUAACCGAA